GGACGAACGCUGGCGGCGUGCUUACCCCAUGCAAGUCGAACGAAGAGCGAUGGAAGCUUGCUUCUAUCAAUCUUAGUGGCGAACGGGUGAGUAACGCGUAAUCAACCUGCCCUUCAGAGGGGGACAACAGGUGGAAACGACUGCUAAUACCGCAUACGAUCUAAUCUCGGCAUCGAGGAUAGAUGAAAGGUGGCCUCUACAUGUAAGCUAUCACUGAAGGAGGGGAUUGCGUCUGAUUAGCUAGUUGGAGGGGUAACGGCCCACCAAGGCGAUGAUCAGUAGCCGGUCUGAGAGGAUGAACGGCCACAUUGGGACUGAGACACGGCCCAGACUCCUACGGGAGGCAGCAGUGGGGAAUCUUCCGCAAUGGACGAAAGUCUGACGGAGCAACGCCGCGUGAGCGAUGACGGCCUUCGGGUUGUAAAGCUCUGUUAAUCGGGACGAAAGGCCUUCUUGCGAAUAGUGAGAAGGAUUGACGGUACCGGAAUAGAAAGCCACGGCUAACUACGUG
RNAcentral lists this ribosomal RNA (511 nucleotides) under uncultured bacterium. RNAcentral's name for it is "partial 16S ribosomal RNA". It matches the Rfam family "Bacterial small subunit ribosomal RNA", at positions 27 to 507 of the family's 1533-position model. The record is from RNAcentral.